UUGAAUUCCAAAAGGAUGUUGCUGGCCUUUCGGGGCAUGUGCACUCCACCUUUUUCAAUACACCUGUGAACUUAUUGUAGGCGCAGAUAUGUUGCCUAUGUUUUUUGAUACACCCUUUAAAAAGUCUAUUGAAUGUCUAAUUGUGGCCUUUGAUGGUCAACAAACUUAAUA
RNAcentral lists this unclassified non-coding RNA (171 nucleotides) under uncultured Clavariaceae. RNAcentral describes it as "sequence contains ITS1". Lineage: Eukaryota; Fungi; Basidiomycota; Agaricomycetes; Agaricales; Clavariaceae. The record is from RNAcentral.